Molecule: ribosomal RNA, 253 nt
Filed under: uncultured bacterium
Lineage: Bacteria
Description: partial 16S ribosomal RNA
Rfam family: Bacterial small subunit ribosomal RNA
Source: RNAcentral
UACGUAGGGUGCAAGCGUUGUCCGGAAUUAUUGGGCGUAAAGAGCUUGUAGGCGGUUUGUCGCGUCUGCUGUGAAAUUUCGGGGCUCAACCCCGAACUUGCAGUGGGUACGGGCAGACUAGAGUGUGGUAGGGGGGACUGGAAUUCCUGGUGUAGCGGUGAAAUGCGCAGAUAUCAGGAGGAACACCGAUGGCGAAGGCAGGUCUCUGGGCCACUACUGACGCUGAGAAGCGAAAGCAUGGGGAGCGAACAGG